This 440-nucleotide ribosomal RNA is filed under the name uncultured bacterium. RNAcentral's name for it is "partial 16S ribosomal RNA". It matches the Rfam family "Bacterial small subunit ribosomal RNA", at positions 338 to 795 of the family's 1533-position model. The record is from RNAcentral.
CCUACGAGUAGCUGCAGUGGGGAAUAUUGCACAAUGGGGGGAACCCUGCUGCAGCGACGCCGCGUGAGUGAAGAAGUAUUUCGGUAUGUAAAGCUCUAUCAGCCGGGAAGAAGAUGACGGUACCUGACUAAGAAGCCACGGCUAACUACGUGCCAGCCGCCGCGGUAAUACGUAGGGGGCAAGCGUUAUCCGGAUUUACUGGGUGUAAAGGGAGCGUAGACGGCAGGGCAAGUCUGGAGUGAAAGCCCGGGGCCCAACCCCGGGACUGCUUUGGAAACUGCCAUGCUAGAGUGCUGGAGAGGUAAGCGGAAGUCCUAGUGUAGCGGUGAAAUGCGUAGAUAUUAGGAGGAACACCAGUGGCGAAGGCGGCUUACUGGACAGUAACUGACGUUGAGGCUCGAAAGCGUGGGGAGCAAACAGGAGUAGAUACCCGGGUAGUC